CGCCCCCCCACCAGACUCCCAAGUACUCUUGUAGUACUUGUGCGCCAGUUUGAGUGGAACUGGCCGUCCCGGAGUGCUAAGGUACUCGGGUCGGCUGAAAUGGAGGGAAUUUGGCCGCCGUGGCAUCACUUGCCCCGCGAUCAGGUGCGAUUUCGAACUCCCACGGCACUUCCAAGUGUCGUGGGACUUGGGUCUUCCAAGUGCGGGGCUCCCGGUGAGCCCGAGUGCGUGCGAGUUCCACAGCAGGCUACCUUGACUUGGGCCUUCCAGGCCACGAGGAAACGAAGAGGUAACGC
RNAcentral lists this unclassified non-coding RNA (296 nucleotides) under Ptychostomum pallescens. RNAcentral's name for it is "partial internal transcribed spacer 2". The record is from RNAcentral. Lineage: Eukaryota; Viridiplantae; Streptophyta; Bryopsida; Bryales; Bryaceae.